AGCACUGCAGUGAACCAUCGCACUAAAACUAUUAGCAAGCACCUGGUGGAGGAGGCCUCCAUAGGUAAGUGGCACCUUUAUAACAUCUGAUAUCCGGUUAAAGGAGUACUCUUCUAAUGACAGAGAGGUGGCCUGGGGAGGGUCACAUAUGCUCCUGUCCAGGACAGUAACGAGAAUCGUUCUGUCUUCUGUUCUGUUCUGUAGGGAAUUCCUCUGGAAGGGUAGAGAGUUGCCGACUGGCACUCACGCAGUCCUACCCCUGAGCUUUAGAAAGACGUUACAUUGCUCCUCUGUUUUUCUGUUUCUUUGCCAGUUUCUGUUUUUUUGUGCUUUCUUCUGUGUUCUAUAUGUUUUUUGUUUGUUUGAUUUUGUGCAUUUUCUUGUGUGAUUUCUGUGGUAAAAACUUAAGGAUAUUGGACGUGAAAAUGGGUAAUAAAGCAAGUAAGGCUGACACCCUUUUGGACUGUGUUUUAAGGAACUGUGAUGAACUUUACCCCCCUUUGUUAAUCAGGAUGAGAGAAGCCCCUAAUGGCUGCCUGGAGCACACCCACUGCAGAGGGCCAUGCCUGCUGGGGACCUAAGAACUGAGUAUCUCCCAGGUUAACAAGUGAAACUCCUUUAAAACCCCUUGUCCCUCCAGAUCAAGAGAGUCACAACAUUUGGGCAGAGUCCCCUGUGUUUCUCCUUAUUAGCAAAGUAGUAAAACUCCCUUUUUCUUUUUCUCAAACCCUGUCCUCAUUAUUAAAUUGGUAUUAAUUGGACUCAAGUUCAGGAACCAAAAUUUAAGUUACAAAUUUUGAUACCCCCCCCUCUGACCCCGGAACUUUUUGAGAGCUGACUUCUGAAAUGUUAGGAGAUGGAGUGUGCUUGGGGUGGAACCAAACCAGAGGAACUAAUCCUGUAAGUAAAAGACGGGACUGAGGGACUUCCAGCAGCUGCCGAAGCCCUUUUGCUUCAGGGAAUUCCCUCCUUCCUUCCCUGCACUGUAAGGAUUAUGCCACAUCUGUCUUCUUAAAAAAGAGAAAAAGAAAAAGGGGACACUAAAUGCAGUAAAGUCACCAUGGAGACCCUUGAUAUUAUAUUUCAGGUUACCCAUCUGUAAAAUCAUGUGAUCCCUUUGUGGGGACAUCUAUCAUGUCACUGGUGUAUGAGAUUUUUCUCUUAUCUGCUCUGUUUUAAAGGCUUCUGUCUGUCAGCCAUAGUCUGGAGCUCCUUUCUGUUUGUCUUGUGUCUUUGUUUCUGGCCCUUUAAGACAUGUGCAAUAAUGUGUUUAUAUUAUAAAUUGUUUCUUGGGAAUUAUCUUAGCUGAAUGUGUGUCUAAAUGAUGAUGUUUUAUUGUAACAAUCUGGUAUCUGAAUGGUUUUUGAAGCAUUGCACAAUCUUGCAGUUAAAAGUCGGGUUUAGGUAAUUGUUUAGUUUAUGAUUUCAGAUAAUUCAUGCCAGAGAACUUAAAUACUUAGGAUGGAAAACUAAAGAAAUCUACUUCCAAGUUGGCAAGUAACUUCCCAAACAUUCAGUCUUUUUUUUCACCAAUUUUGAAUUGGGUUGCCUGGGAAAAUGUCACAGUGUGUACCAGUGGAUUAAUUUGGACAAGGAUAGUAAAUCAUAGUAUGGUAUCUGUUGACAAAACAAGAUGUAAAGAUAUAAAAUUUGUGAAUUGUAUCUUAAAAUUGUAUCAUAAUUUUCAACAUCCGAACCUGAAAAUUAUGGUUAAAAUGCCUUAGGCCUGAGGAGUCUGCUCAGAAUAGCAGUUUUUUUCCAGCUCCUUCCAGAACUCAGCAGGACUUAUGUUGAAAUGCAAGUGAAAGAAGUCUGCAAGCUCAGUAAGAGACUGAUCUGAGGCCUAAGUGGGGGAAAAAAAGGUAAAUUGUAUACUAUUUACUAAUUACUGGCCAGUCAUUUUUUCUAGGACUCUUAUAUUUUCCCUUAGAAUCUGUAUUUUUUUUUUGAGCUCAUGAUUUGGAUCCUACAGACCUAGGUUAAUGUUUUGCUGAUCAGUUCUAACUUUGUCCAACAGUGGAGUUUUUGAAACAUUGCAAUGGAGAUUUCACCUGCGAAAAGCUACAAGGCCUUUACUAUUAUAAUGUGUGCACACUUUUGUUAUGUGUUGUAUGUCUAUAUAUACAUAUGUCCGUACAUCAUAUAUAUGAUAUACAAAUUAACAUAUAUAAGGAGCGCUCAUAAAUACAAAUUUUAAAAAGUGGAUCCAAAGAUCUUUAAUUCACAUGAUUUAAAUGGUUCAAUUUAUAUUGGAUAAACAGAUAAAAAUAAAUGUCUUUAAAUUUAAGCUUAAAAGUUUUUCUAGGUGUUCAAAAAUCUAAUAAAAUAUUAAUGUCUAUAAAAUGUCUAAUAUGCCUUGGUUCUAGGACUUUUACUUCAACAAAAAAAUGGUUUAAACUGUUCAAUACAUUUGUCUAAUAUUUUGAUAAAUAAGUAAAGUAAAUUUGAUAUGGGAUUACUCAUUCAUGUGUACUCUUGUUAGAUAUCUGAUUGAUUUACUAAGGUCUGUGUAAGUUUGUUCUAAAGUCUGUAUAAGAUUGUAAAAAUCAGUCAUGUGUUAAAGAGACAAAAAUUUCUUAAAACAUAAGUUUACCCAUAACAUUGUGUUUAUUAAGUUUUAUUUUUCUAGAGCAAGCAACCAUAAAAAUUAAACAACUGAUUAAAUAAGAACUGUUAUUUUAGAGCACUGUACUGCCAUUUCUUUAAAAGCUAAACUUGGUUAAUGUAGAAACAUCAAUGCAAUUGUGAUGCUAUUAAUGUGGUCAUAUCUUCCAGUUAUACAAGUCUGUAAGGUAGAAACUUUAAAAGAGCAUUAUAUCAAGCUGGUGUUCUGAAGUUGUAUGGUAAAAAAAUAUAUUGGGGUUUUAUUUACCUGUUAUCAAUAAGAUAUGUAAAUUUUAUGUUACUUUUUACAUUGGGGAACAAUUUAAAUGUAUUUGUAAGUUAAUGAGAGCCUAAUCUAUGUAAAGUUUAAAAACUUUCAGCCUUUCUUUCAUUCAUGUUUUAAAUGUUAUAUCAUAUGGUGUUAGCUAAUGUUCAUGUGACCUCAAACAAUUUAUGUAAACUUUGUAAAAUUAUAUUUACAAAAAAGAUUAGCUUUAGAACUAAAACACUUAAGAUUUAUAUAGAGCCCUGCCUUACCUGAGAUAAGGCUCUUUGCCCCAUCUUAUUAUAUGUGAGAAUGACUAUGAAAGCAGUAGGUCAUAUGUUAUUUCAUUCAAAGUUAUGUUCAAAAGUUGUUUUUUUUUUUUUCUGCAAGAUUACUAAUAUCUCAAACAGGGGAUAUAAUGUAUAACUCAGCCAAAAAAUUCAGGGUAGCUAUUACACGAAUUAAGUAUUUUUACUCUUGUUAAUUUUAUUUUGUAAUUUCCCUAUAAUUGAUGUAAAGAUUCCCUGUUAGUGUUUUACAGAAGUGUUGCUUUAAUAACACAACAUGGGUUAAUUUAAGGUAAUAAGUCAUCACCUACAAGACAGAAAGAAUAAUACAGAUCCCAAUUAAUAAAAAGAUAAAUAAUUUUAAAUUAUAGACAUUAAAGCCCAGUACCCUUAAUAUAAGGCUGUUAAAAUUUAUUUGCUGGAUGUUUAAGAUUAGGAUUUAAAAUUAAAGUUAAAUGGAAAGGGCCAAGAAAACCAAUAUUUGGCUCUUGCCCUCUGAGUCAGUCUGAAUUUAGGGAACAGGGGACUUCUCUAAAGAGCUUUGCAACUCUGGGCCACAUAACCUCCCCAUCAGCCAGAUUAAUGAGACCACUGGAGAACAGAAAGCCAAUCAGUGCAUUUUCUAUGAAUAAGCGAGUCAUCAGAGAAAGGAGACAUCCCUGGUGCUUCCGAGAGAAGCCACAUGGUCAAGCAAGACCAGGACCCACCUAGCGCAAAUGGCACUAGCAGAACUGAGAAGCUGCUCUCAAGUUUCCCCAGGAAUGACUCCCAUAAAAGCUCAGCUGACUGUUAACAAUUGAUAGAAACAAAAGUCAUUUUGACUGCUUCAUCUUAAACACUUAGCAAAGACAGUUAAACCCAAAAUACAGCCAUUCCUGGGCAUUUUAAAUAAUAAUAGUAAUAAUAAUAUUUUAAGGUAUACACUUUAUGUUAGCCUCCCAAAAUAAGUAAGACUGGAGACUACAAAGAAGGAUUCUCAGACAGGAAUGCCUGAUAACUCUAAAAAGAGACUAUCAAGAGGUGCUGCCAGAGGCAGAAGUUUUUAGUUUAAGGCCUACAGAUAUUCCUAACCUACACAGGUAGGCUUGGUGUUUUCUAGUACGAUUAUCCAGCCCUGAGUAACAGAAUUAAAUGUUUCUCUAUUAGACACAGAGGUCAUACUAGUAAAAGGAUUUUGCAAGAUCAGAUGACAUUAAAUUAUUAAACUGUAUCUUAUGGGGAGUGAGAACUGUAACACUAAAGUUAAAUAUUAAGUUGACAGUCCUGAUAACUGGGGAUAUUAAAGACUGGUGAGGGAACUUCUAUACAGUGACAUAUUCCAGCUGCUGCAACAUUUAUUCAGUACUCAUGGUUUUUGUUUCUCUCAUAGAAGAACCCAUCCCCAGAUGACUUUACAACCUGUUCUUCCCCAACCAGACUUCAAACCAAAUUGACUUCUAAAAGGCAUCUCAAGUCCCUCACACCAUGCCCCCUCAUGUCACCCUCUCUCAGCUCAGAAGAAGCCAAAAUGAGUGACGCCUCUCUUCUUACAACAAUGGAGCCAAAAAUAAAUAGACUAUCAAUAUAAGUAAUUAAUUAAGUCAGGUAAAAUCAGGGAGACUGGUUUUGGGUGAGUUCAAAAAAUAUGGAGACUGUUACCUGAGGGAUUAAAAUUUCCUCAAUGAUCUUCCCCUACACUAUUAAAGAUUUGAAAGGGACACAUUAGAAAAGGGGGGAAUGAUAGACCCAACCUGAUCUUUUAUUAAAAUUGGGAGCCAUCUUGCCACAAAGCCAUGAAAAGGUAAUUUUGGCUUAAAUAUAAAUUACAUCAAAUUCUAAACCUGCUUGGAAUGCCUGCCCAUGCCUUGAACUCACCCAUGCCUGGGUCUCCGACCAGAUAACAGCCCUCUCUGAAACUUUAUUGACACCGCAUAAAUAUUGGCCUUCCCUGGCCUGACAACGACCCUCUCUGAGGCCCUAAUUUUCCUCAUAAAUUCUGAUGUUGGGGCCAGCAAAAAAAAUGUAAACUACCAUUAGUGUGAUGCUUGUCAGAGUUCUGUUAUCUGUAAUCUCCUUUUGUGUAACUUUCUGGGCUAUAAUGCUGGGCCGUAGGAAAGGUGGGGUUGCUGUCUUGUUCCCGCUGAUUUGGGAGGGAGAGUCAGACUGGGUGGUAGAAAUAAUAAGCUUGCUUUAAUUUGAUUUUAAUUGGAGUCAGUGGUUUUUUCUUGUGUCCUGGUCUAAAAGGUAAACACUCCACAAACAUGGAGCUCUGCUGGCCUAAAGACUUCUUGAGAAACUGCCUCUGAGGAUGGGCACUUGACAUAUAUAUUGUUGUCAGGAGCUUUAGCUUCCUUUGUAGUGAGACCAUCAAAGCUGGGUCUGCAUCUAUGUGACCUGGAGGACAUUCUUUGUUAUUUUCCAAAGAACAUGAGGCAGCAGUGCUGAAUUCUCUCUUUGUUGGUAAACUGUGGCCACUGGGGCCUAAGUGUCUCCUCAUUUGGACUGUGAAGCCAUUUC
Molecule: long non-coding RNA, 5652 nt
Filed under: Marmota monax (woodchuck)
Lineage: Eukaryota; Metazoa; Chordata; Mammalia; Rodentia; Sciuridae
Source: RNAcentral